CCUACGGGUGGCAGCAGUGAGGAAUAUUGGGCAAUGGAGGCAACCCUGAACCAGCCACGCAGCGUGCAGGAUGACGGCCCUAUGGGUUGUAAACUGCUUUUAUGCGGGGAUAAACUGCGUCACGUGUGGCCUAUUGCACGUACCCCAUGAAUAAGGACCCGCUAAUUCCGUGCCAGUAGCCGCGGUAAUACGGAAGGUGCGGGCGUUAUCCGGAUUUAUUGGGUGUAAAGGUAGGGCAGGCGGUCCCUCAAGCGUGUUGUGAAAUGCCGGGGCUCAACCGGGGGACUGCAGCGGGAACUGGGGGGCUUGAGUGCGGGAGAGGUAGGCGGAAUUCGGGGUGUAGCGGUGAAAUGCGUAGAUAUCACGAAGAACUCCGAUUGCGAAGGCAGCCUACCGUAGAGUAACUGACGCUGAGGCUCGAAGGUGCGGGUAUCGAACAGGAUUAGAUACCCUAGUAGUC
Molecule: ribosomal RNA, 460 nt
Filed under: uncultured bacterium
Lineage: Bacteria
Description: partial 16S ribosomal RNA
Rfam family: Bacterial small subunit ribosomal RNA
Source: RNAcentral